This 253-nucleotide ribosomal RNA is filed under the name uncultured bacterium. Its description in RNAcentral is "partial 16S ribosomal RNA". It matches the Rfam family "Bacterial small subunit ribosomal RNA", at positions 524 to 776 of the family's 1533-position model. The record is from RNAcentral.
UACGGGGGGGGCAAGCGUUGUUCGGAAUUACUGGGCGUAAAGGGCUCGUAGGCGGCCAACUAAGUCCGACGUGAAAUCCCAAGGCUUAACCUUGGAACUGCGUCGGAUACUGGAUGGCUUGAAUUCGGGAGAGGGAUGCAGAAUUCCAGGUGUAGCGGUGAAAUGCGCAGAUAUCAGGAGGAACACCAAUUGCGAAGGCAGCUCGCUGAGACGUUACUGACGCUGAGACGCGAAAGCGUGGGGAGCAAACAGG